GAAGUAACUCCAUAACUAAUCAAGUAGAAGUAAGACUAGAGGACAAAUUUAACUGUUUACAAAUUUAACAUAAACAGCAAAAUUUUAUUCACAAAGACAGACAGUCUUGAUCUCUUUGUAAAGCACAUACAUUAACUAGUAGAAAAAACAUACAAGCAUGUUUAAGACAAGAGGUACAAAACUACAGAUGGAGAGAUAGAUCUAAAUCUACUUGAACUUCCUGUUCAGCAUCAGAGGAAGUUCCCAAGCCAGAAAAGGAGAGUUCCAGAUCCCUGAAGAAAAGAAGCUCUUUCUUCCAAGGCUUCUUUGUCUGCACAGGAGGUGGGGAGCUAGUCUUUAGCCUUUUUGACGUAUGUGUCAUGGGAGCAUCCCCAGGGACAUCACUCAUAUAAGGCCUCUUAUUCCCUUCACAA
RNAcentral lists this unclassified non-coding RNA (413 nucleotides) under Hevea brasiliensis (rubber tree). The record is from RNAcentral. Lineage: Eukaryota; Viridiplantae; Streptophyta; Magnoliopsida; Malpighiales; Euphorbiaceae.